RNAcentral lists this ribosomal RNA (253 nucleotides) under uncultured bacterium. RNAcentral's name for it is "partial 16S ribosomal RNA". It matches the Rfam family "Bacterial small subunit ribosomal RNA", at positions 524 to 776 of the family's 1533-position model. The record is from RNAcentral.
UACGUAGGGUGCAAGCGUUGUCCGGAAUUAUUGGGCGUAAAGAGCUCGUAGGCGGUUUGUCGCGUCUGCUGUGAAAACUCGGGGCUUAACUCCGGGCCUGCAGUGGAUACGGGCAGACUAGAGUGCGGUAGGGGAGACUGGAAUUCCUGGUGUAGCGGUGAAAUGCGCAGAUAUCAGGAGGAACACCGGUGGCGAAGGCGGGUCUCUGGGCCGUAACUGACGCUGAGGAGCGAAAGCCAGGGGAGCGAACGGG